CCUUGUACACACCGCCCGUCACACCAUGGGAGUGGGUUGCUCCAGAAGGCGUUAGUCUAACCGCAAGGGGGGCGACGCCCACGGAGUGGUCCAUGACUGGGGUG
RNAcentral lists this ribosomal RNA (104 nucleotides) under uncultured bacterium. RNAcentral describes it as "partial 16S ribosomal RNA". It matches the Rfam family "Bacterial small subunit ribosomal RNA", at positions 1379 to 1482 of the family's 1533-position model. The record is from RNAcentral.